Long non-coding RNA from Pogoniulus pusillus (Red-fronted tinkerbird), 464 nucleotides. RefSeq lists it as uncharacterized. The transcript is spliced from 3 exons. Lineage: Eukaryota; Metazoa; Chordata; Aves; Piciformes; Lybiidae. The record is from RefSeq and is a predicted model, not a curated record.
AACGAUCUGCUCAGCCUGGACUGAACAACGCCACCGGCACUCACCGGCCUGCCGCGCCAGCCCGGGGCCGGCUGCUUGCUGUACACAGCGCUCAGCCAGGCUGCUGCAGCCUGCAAACCCGGACCCUGCUUUGCACAGGUGGCUGCGACCACUCUGCUGACCCCCUGCGAGCCACGGGAGACCUCUCUCGUGUCCGUGGGCCUUCUCAGACGACCUGCUCAGCCUGGACUGAACCAGCAGCACAGCCCCAUCGCAUCAUUGCCACGUCAAGUCCACCGCCUGGCUGCGACUCCCUCUUUUCCCGUCGAUGCUUCGAGAGCGCAAACGUUGAGACUCUUAACCGGGAUGGUUUGUGUGAUGCCAUCGUGAAGUGCUAAGGAACUCUGGAGUGGAGGCAAAACCUGCUGUUGAGUAGCUGUGACUGUAUGAGUGUCCCUGCUUUUGCUUGUGACCCCUGGUUUAGG